RNAcentral lists this ribosomal RNA (463 nucleotides) under uncultured bacterium. RNAcentral's name for it is "bacterial SSU rRNA". It matches the Rfam family "Bacterial small subunit ribosomal RNA", at positions 352 to 811 of the family's 1533-position model. The record is from RNAcentral.
CAGUGAGGAAUAUUGGACAAUGGGAGCAAUCCUGAUCCAGCCAUGCCGCGUGCAGGAAGACGGUCCUAUGGAUUGUAAACUGCUUUUAUACAGGAAGAAAAAGCCCGACGAGUCGGGUGUUGACGGUACUGUAUGAAUAAGGAUCGGCUAACUCCGUGCCAGCAGCCGCGGUAAUACGGAGGAUCCGAGCGUUAUCCGGAAUUAUUGGGUUUAAAGGGUCCGUAGGCGGGAUAAUAAGUCAGUGGUGAAAGUUUGUGGCUCAACCAUAAAAUUGCCAUUGAUACUGUUAUUCUUGAGUUAUUGUGAAGUGGUUAGAAUGUGUAGUGUAGCGGUGAAAUGCAUAGAUAUUACACAGAAUACCAAUUGCGAAGGCAGAUCACUAACAAUGCACUGACGCUGAUGGACGAAAGCGUAGGUAGCGAACAGGAUUAGAUACCCUGGUAGUCUACGCAGUAAANCGAUG